AUGAUCCCUUCCCGCCAUACGAUGCUCCGUUUUGUUCCGUUGUGAAUGCCGCAUCCUGUCCUGGUGACAGGAGAACAAUAUUGGUGAACGUCGCAGUAGGUGUCCGAGUGCUCCGUGUGCCCCUGAAAGCGGGUGGGAGCGGAAACCCGGGCGGCCUUGGCCUCCUACGAUAGCGCGCUAUCUGCCGCUGCCGCGCGCGUACGCGCAGCCUCUGGGCUAUUUCUGGUCCGGCCGCAGCACUGUGGUGGGUGCGGGCGUGCCGGGACCCGGCGGGGGCGGGGCGGCCAUAUGGGUCGGCUCUCCCGCCUACGCCUCCCGCUCCAGAGCAAGCCGGGCCGCCGUCCUCUCGCCAUGGGCUCCGGUGAGUCUGGAGUCCGGUUGGGCCCUCGGCUGCUCCCUAGGCCGAUCCGGGUUGAGAGGCUCUCUGAUCCUUUGGCUGCAGCAGGGAGAGACUUGGGUCAGACUUAGAGGGGAUUUCCAGCCAGCGUACGGGGUGGUCAGGGUGGAGAGGCUGGCGGGCUACCGGGACGCCGGGCAUCAGGGGGCUCGAUGGAGCCGGCCGGCGCUCUGGGCGCCCCGCCGACCGCCCGGUUCACUGCGGCCUUCCGUUGCAGGGCCGCGCGGGGCGCUGAGCUUACUGCUCUUGCUGCUGGCGCCGCCGAGCCGCCCGGCCGCAGGUUGCCCCGCGCCCUGUAGCUGCGCGGGGACGCUAGUGGACUGCGGGCGCCGCGGGCUGACUUGGGCCUCGCUGCCGACUGCCUUCCCUGUCGACACAACCGAGCUGGUGCUGACCGGCAACAAUCUGACGGCGCUGCCGCCGGGGCUGCUGGACGCGCUGCCCGCGCUGCGCGCCGCACACCUGGGCGCCAACCCCUGGCGCUGCGACUGCCACCUGGUUCCGCUGCGCGCCUGGCUGGCCGGCCGCCCCGAGCGUGCCCCCUACCGCGACCUGCGUUGCGUGGCGCCCCCAGCUCUGCGCGGCCGCCUGCUGCCCUACCUGGCAGAAGACGAGCUGCGUGCCGCUUGCGCUCCCGGCUCGCUCUGCUGGGGGGCGCUGGCGGCGCAGCUCGCGCUGCUGGGCCUGGGGCUGCUGCACGCGCUGCUGCUGCUGCUGCUCCUGUGCCGUCUGCGGAGGCUGCGCAUCCGCGCCCGCGCCGCACCCCGGCUAUCGCUGACCGCCCCGCUGGUGGACGAGUCGGCCGGAACCGGCGCGUCCUGAGGAGAGACCCGGCGCUGAGCAACGCAGGCCUGCAAACUCGACAGGACCCUGCCCAAGACGCCCUCACGCCAACCUGGACCCGCCUCGGCCUCCUCCGCUGCCCAAUCUCUCAGACUCGCCCCACCUGCAGGCCCAGACCCACGUGGGGCAGAACUCCUGCCCAUUUUACCCCGAUGGAGGCGAACCCUCCAGCCUUGGGAGGACCGUGGGGCACAAGGCGGUCCAGACCCUGGUCUUUCCUCCAAACUCUGGUGCUGAAUAAAUCCUUCUGAUCUGGC
RNA transcript from Callithrix jacchus (white-tufted-ear marmoset), 1497 nucleotides. RefSeq lists it as uncharacterized. Lineage: Eukaryota; Metazoa; Chordata; Mammalia; Primates; Cebidae. The record is from RefSeq and is a predicted model, not a curated record.